RNAcentral lists this ribosomal RNA (496 nucleotides) under uncultured bacterium. RNAcentral describes it as "partial 16S ribosomal RNA". It matches the Rfam family "Bacterial small subunit ribosomal RNA", at positions 28 to 523 of the family's 1533-position model. The record is from RNAcentral.
GAUGAACGCUAGCGGCAGGCUUAACACAUGCAAGUCGAGGGGUAGAAGUUGCUUGCAACUUUGAGACCGGCGCACGGGUGCGUAACGCGUAUGCAAUCUACCUUAUACAGAGGGAUAGCCCAGAGAAAUUUGGAUUAAUACCUCAUAGUAUAAUUGAAUGGCAUCAUUUAACUAUUAAAGUUCCAACGGUAUAAGAUGAGCAUGCGUCCUAUUAGCUAGAUGGUAAGGUAACGGCUUACCAUGGCAACGAUAGGUAGGGGUCCUGAGAGGGGGAUCCCCCACACUGGUACUGAGACACGGACCAGACUCCUACGGGAGGCAGCAGUGAGGAAUAUUGGACAAUGGGCGCAAGCCUGAUCCAGCCAUGCCGCGUGCAGGAAGAAGCAUCUAUGGUGUGUAAACUGCUUUUGUACGGGAAGAAACACCCCUUCGUGAAGGGACUUGACGGUACCGUAAGAAUAAGGAUCGGCUAACUCCGUGCCAGCAGCCGCCGCCG